Molecule: non-coding RNA, 46 nt
Organism: Callithrix jacchus (white-tufted-ear marmoset)
Lineage: Eukaryota; Metazoa; Chordata; Mammalia; Primates; Cebidae
Source: Rfam
CCAAAGGCUCUUUUCAGAGCCAACAACCUUUUCUAUAAAAGAUGUU